GACGAACGCUGGCGGCGUGCUUAACACAUGCAAGUCGAGCGGUAAGGCCCUUUCGGGGGUACACGAGCGGCGAACGGGUGAGUAACACGUGGGUGACCUGCCCUCAGCUCUGGGAUAAGCCUGGGAAACCGGGUCUAAUACUGGAUAUGACUCCAUGACGCAUGUUGUGGGGUGGAAAGCCUUGUGCGGCUGAGGAUGGGCCCGCGGCCUAUCAGCUUGUUGGUGGGGUGANGGCCUACCAAGGCGACGACGGGUAGCCGGCCUGAGAGGGCGACCGGCCACACUGGGACUGAGACACGGCCCAGACUCCUACGGGGAGGCAGCAGUGGGGAAUCUUGCGCAAUGGGCGAAAGCCUGACGCAGCGACGCCGCGUGAGGGAUGACGGCC
This 388-nucleotide ribosomal RNA is filed under the name uncultured bacterium. RNAcentral's name for it is "bacterial SSU rRNA". It matches the Rfam family "Bacterial small subunit ribosomal RNA", at positions 28 to 416 of the family's 1533-position model. The record is from RNAcentral.